RNAcentral lists this ribosomal RNA (189 nucleotides) under uncultured bacterium. RNAcentral's name for it is "partial 16S ribosomal RNA". It matches the Rfam family "Bacterial small subunit ribosomal RNA", at positions 1311 to 1500 of the family's 1533-position model. The record is from RNAcentral.
CUCGCCUGCAUGAAGUCGGAAUUGCUGUAAUCGCAGAUCAGCAUGCUGCGGUGAAUACGUUCCCGGGCCUUGUACACACCGCCCGUCACACCAUGGGAGUCGGUAACACCCGAAGUCGGUAGCCUAACCGUAAGGAGGGCGCCGCCGAAGGUGGGAUUGAUGACUGGGGUGAAGUCGUAACAAGGUAUC